This 254-nucleotide ribosomal RNA is filed under the name uncultured bacterium. RNAcentral describes it as "partial 16S ribosomal RNA". It matches the Rfam family "Bacterial small subunit ribosomal RNA", at positions 793 to 1055 of the family's 1533-position model. The record is from RNAcentral.
GUCCACGCCGUAAACGAUGGAUACUAGCUGUUGGGCGCAAGUUCAGUGGCUAAGCGAAAGUGAUAAGUAUCCCACCUGGGGAGUACGUUCGCAAGAAUGAAACUCAAAGGAAUUGACGGGGCCCGCACAAGCGGUGGAGCAUGUGGUUUAAUUCGAUGAUACGCGAGGAACCUUACCAAGGCUUAAAUGUAGAUUGACCAGUUUGGAAACAGACUUUUCGCAAGACAAUUUACAAGGUGCUGCAUGGUUGUCGU